GAUGAAGAACGCAGCGAAAUGCGAUAAGUAAUGCGAAUUGCAGAAUUCAGUGAAUCAUCGAAUCUUUGAACGCACAUUGCGCCCCUUGGUAUUCCGAGGGGCAUGCCUGUUCGAGCGUCAUUAUAACCCUCAAGCUCAGCUUGGUGUUGGGGCCUGCUGCACUGGCAGCCCUUAAAAUCAGUGGCGGCGCCAUCUGGCUCUAAGCGUAGUAAUUCUUCUCGCUAUGGAGUCCUGGUGGAUGCUUGCCAUCAACCCCCAAUUUUUCUAUGGUUGACCUCGGAUCAGGUAGGGAUACCCGCUGAACUUAAGCAUAUCAAUAAGCGGAGGA
This 328-nucleotide unclassified non-coding RNA is filed under the name soil metagenome. RNAcentral describes it as "partial contains 5.8S ribosomal RNA, internal transcribed spacer 2, and large subunit ribosomal RNA". The stretch from base 1 to 120 matches the Rfam family "5.8S ribosomal RNA", at positions 35 to 154 of the family's 154-position model. The record is from RNAcentral.